RNAcentral lists this ribosomal RNA (294 nucleotides) under uncultured fungus. Its description in RNAcentral is "partial small subunit ribosomal RNA". It matches the Rfam family "Eukaryotic small subunit ribosomal RNA", at positions 30 to 340 of the family's 1831-position model. The record is from RNAcentral. Lineage: Eukaryota; Fungi.
GCUUGUCUCAAAGAUUAAGCCAUGCAUGUCUAAGUACAAGCCUCAGUAAGGUGAAACUGCGAAUGGCUCAUUAAAUCAGUUAUCAAAUACGUGAUGGUCGCCUACUACAUGGAUAACCGUAGUAAUUCUAGAGCUAAUACAUGCACAAAGGCCCACUCACGUGGGUUGUGAUUAUUAGAUUCAAACCGGCCUCGUUCUGGUGAUUCAUAAUAAUUGGUCGAACCGCAUGCCCUUGUGGUGGCGGUGAUUCAUCCUUAUUUCUGCCCUAUCAACUUUCGAUGGUAGGAUAGAGGC